GACGAACGCUGGCGGCGUGCCUAAUACAUGCAAGUAGAACGCUGAAGAGAGGAGCUUGCUCUUCUUGGAUGAGUUGCGAACGGGUGAGUAACGCGUAGGUAACCUGCCUUGUAGCGGGGGAUAACUAUUGGAAACGAUAGCUAAUACCGCAUAACAAUGGAUGACACAUGUCAUUUAUUUGAAAGGGGCAAUUGCUCCACUACAAGAUGGACCUGCGUUGUAUUAGCUAGUAGGUGAGGUAAUGGCUCACCUAGGCGACGAUACAUAGCCGACCUGAGAGGGUGAUCGGCCACACUGGGACUGAGACACGGCCCAGACUCCUACGGGAGGCAGCAGUAGGGAAUCUUCGGCAAUGGGGGCAACCCUGACCGAGCAACGCCGCGUGAGUGAAGAAGGUUUUCGGAUCGUAAGGCUCUGUUGUAAGUCAAGAACGGGUGAGAGAGUGGAAAGUUCACACUGUGACGGUAGCUUACCAGAAAGGGACGGCUAACUACGUG
This 497-nucleotide ribosomal RNA is filed under the name uncultured bacterium. RNAcentral's name for it is "partial 16S ribosomal RNA". It matches the Rfam family "Bacterial small subunit ribosomal RNA", at positions 28 to 507 of the family's 1533-position model. The record is from RNAcentral.